GGGUAAGUCUUGUACGACCAGCUCCCUGUGAAUUCCCCCAGGAUCGGAAGAUAGCAAGGGUCAACAGGUUGUAGCGGUGCGAUACAAACAGCUUACCCUUU
This 101-nucleotide signal recognition particle RNA is filed under the name Flavobacteriales bacterium. RNAcentral's name for it is "signal recognition particle sRNA small type". It matches the Rfam family "Bacteroidales small SRP". From Rfam's summary of the family: The non-coding component of the signal recognition particle in Bacteroides The record is from RNAcentral. Lineage: Bacteria; Pseudomonadati; Bacteroidota; Flavobacteriia; Flavobacteriales.